RNAcentral lists this long non-coding RNA (372 nucleotides) under Salvia miltiorrhiza (redroot sage). RNAcentral describes it as "long non-coding RNA (SMIL_LNC011763)". Lineage: Eukaryota; Viridiplantae; Streptophyta; Magnoliopsida; Lamiales; Lamiaceae. The record is from RNAcentral.
AAGAACAAGCUUCAGUUCCAUUUAUAAUUUUUGUUUGAAGAUGGAGGAUGCGCUCAAACGUGCUGGGGAGGUAGACAAAAUCGAAGAAGACAACGCCCUUCAAAUAAAAAACCUGAAUGCGGUACAUUUUAACUGAGUUAAUGUUUUCUAAGUGAUAUAUUAUGUUAUUUUGGUAAGUAACCUGAUCAGUUGAUAGCAUAGAGUGUUUGCAACUUAAAUAUUUUAUUUGUUCCAAGUAGCUAAUAAUGUCUCCAAUGAAUACAGGUGAUAAUCGUGUUGCACAAGUAGGGGAAGCAAACCGGUUAAUAUCAGCUAUUUCAUAGAUUUCUCAUAAAUCUUUUUGCCUCUAAGUACCAGACCAUAUACGGUCAA